CUUCCGAUCUGUGAUUUUUCGGGAGUUGACCAUCUGUGUAUUACUAAUCUGUGGGACAACCUUUCCGCAAUCACAUCGGAAUCGCAGUCCUUGCUACCAUGUGCAUGCCGCCAUCACACCGGAAUCGACAGCUGCACUGCCUACCGAACAGUCUUGUAUCAGCACAUCGAACAUUGGCCAAGGAUUUCCCGGCACUUCGGGAAGUGGCCGGCCAAAGUAAUAUAGACUCUAGUCAUUUCCAGUACAUCGGACAUUGGCCAAACGCCACCGCCAAAGUGCGAAAUGGCCGGCCAAUUCGGGAACUGGCCGAACUUCGGGCUU
RNAcentral lists this long non-coding RNA (321 nucleotides) under Androctonus crassicauda. Lineage: Eukaryota; Metazoa; Arthropoda; Arachnida; Scorpiones; Buthidae. The record is from RNAcentral.